UCAGAGAAAACAUUCAGCAUUUGGUUUUUGGAGAUUGGCUAACUUCACUUAGCAUUAUCUUCUCCAACGCCAUCCAUUUACCUGCAAAUUCCAUGAUUUUAUUCUCUUUUAUUGCUGAAUAAAAUUUCAUUGUGUAUAUAUGCCACAUUUUUUUUAUCUAUUCUUCCACUGAAGGGUUGGCUCCACAGUUUAGCUAUUGUGAAUUGUGCUGCUGUAAACAUUGAUGUGGCUGUUUCCCUGUAGUAUGCUGUUUUUAAGCCUUUGGAUAUAGUCCGAGGAGAGGGAUAGCUGGGUCAAAUGGUGGUUCCAUUCCCAGAUUUCCAAGAAAUCUCCAUACUGCUUUCCAUAUUGCUACACCAAUUUGCAGUCCCACCAGCAAUGUAUGAGUGUACCUUUUCCCCCACAUCCUCACCAACACUUAUUGUUGUUUGUCUUCAUAAUAGCUGCCAUUCUGACUGGAGUGAGAUAGAGUAGUUUUGACUUGCAUUUCUCUAAUUGCUAGAGAUGAUGAACAUUUUUUCAUAUAUUUGUUGAUUGAUUGUAUAUCCUCUUCUGAGAAGUGUCUGUUGAGGUCCUUGGCCCAUUUGUUGAUUGGGUUAUUUGGGUUUUUUUUGGUGUUUAGCUUUUUGAGUUCUUUAUAUACUCUAGAGAUUCGUGCUCUAUUUGAUGUAUGAGGGAUAAAAAUUUACUCCCAGGAUAUAGGCUCUCUGUUCACCUCACAGAUUGUUUCUUUUGCUGAGAAAAAAAUUUUAGUUUGAUUCCAUCCCAUUUAUUGAUUCUUGGUUUUAAUUCUUACACUAUAGGAAUCUUAUUAAGGAAGUUGGGGCCUAAUCCCACAUGAUGAAGAUUAGGGCUUACUUUUUCAUCUAUUAGAUGCAGAGUCUCUGGUUUAAUUCCUAGGUCCUUUAUCCACUUUGAGUUGAG
RNAcentral lists this long non-coding RNA (924 nucleotides) under Marmota monax (woodchuck). Lineage: Eukaryota; Metazoa; Chordata; Mammalia; Rodentia; Sciuridae. The record is from RNAcentral.